GACCGUGUCAUCUGAGUGGUUAUCGUUUAACGGCAAAAGAGAGGGUGGUCACCAGGGUGGCAAUGGACAAGAGAGCAUUGUCAUGCCUGUCAAUGGGGUUCUCACUGGAGAUGUUGGAUUUGUGGAGCUUAGCCAGGGUCGAGGAGAGCUCGUCGGUGUGGUGAACCAUAGGUGGGGGACGUAGUGAAUCGAUCGAGGUGAUCUCUUUUAGAGAAUAGCAAUAAUUUUGUCUCUUAAAUUACAAAUGAUCCCACCGGAUAUUGAAGAAA
Molecule: long non-coding RNA, 269 nt
Filed under: Elaeis guineensis (African oil palm)
Lineage: Eukaryota; Viridiplantae; Streptophyta; Magnoliopsida; Arecales; Arecaceae
Description: long non-coding RNA (EGUI_LNC006560)
Source: RNAcentral